UACGACUACAUAUCAGGCAUAUCAAUAAGCGGAGGAAAAGAAACUAACAAGGAUUCCCCUAGUAACGGCGAGUGAAGCGGGAAGAGCUCAAAUUUGAAAUCUUAAAGGGUUUCCCUUUACGAAUUGUAGUUUAAAGAAGUGUUUUCUGUUAGGAGUUUCGGUAAAAGUUCUUUGGAAUAGGGACAUCAUAGAGGGUGAGAAUCCCGUAUUUGACCGUUAUCUUUCCAGCUGUGUGAUACACUUUCAAAGAGUCGGAUUGUUUGGGAAUGCAGUCCAAGAUGGGUGGUAAAUUUCAUCUAAAGCUAAAUAUUGGCGAGAGACCGAUAGCGAACAAGUGCCGUGAGGGAAAGAUGAAAAGAACUUUGAAAAGAGAGUUAAACAGUACGUGAAAUUGUCAAAAGGGAAGCGUUUGACACCAGUGUUGUUUAGUUGAAAAUCAAUUCAAGAGUGUUUUGAUUCUAGUAGUAUUGACUUCAUCAGCUUGCUGCAUUUCUUCUCAGAAAUUAUUGAAUGCACUUUUCAGUUAACAAGUCAACAUCAAUUUCUUUUGUUGUAAAAGGGUAUAGGAAGGUGGCUUGCUCUUCGGCUCAAGUGUUUAUAGCCUUUUAUACUCUGCAAUCGGAGAGAUUGAGGUCUGCAGCGUAGAUCCUUCGGGGUUAGAUACAUUGGUGCUAAGCUAUAGCCUUGUAUAGACAACUUGUUGACUAUGCUCAGUCAUGUAGCUUACUCGCUGAUGCUAUUUUACCUACGCUUAGGAUGUUGAUCUACAGAGCGAGAGU
This 779-nucleotide ribosomal RNA is filed under the name uncultured Neocallimastigales. Its description in RNAcentral is "partial large subunit ribosomal RNA". It matches the Rfam family "Eukaryotic large subunit ribosomal RNA", at positions 24 to 635 of the family's 3401-position model. Lineage: Eukaryota; Fungi; Neocallimastigomycota; Neocallimastigomycetes; Neocallimastigales. The record is from RNAcentral.